This 68-nucleotide transfer RNA is filed under the name Apodemus sylvaticus (European woodmouse). Its description in RNAcentral is "tRNA-Val". It matches the Rfam family "tRNA". From Rfam's summary of the family: Transfer RNA (tRNA) molecules are approximately 80 nucleotides in length. Their secondary structure includes four short double-helical elements and three loops (D, anti-codon, and T loops). Lineage: Eukaryota; Metazoa; Chordata; Mammalia; Rodentia; Muridae. The record is from RNAcentral.
CAUAGAGUAGCUUAAUAACUAAAGCAUCUGGCCUACACCCAGAAGAAUUCAUACAAUGAACUCUAUGA